This 377-nucleotide ribosomal RNA is filed under the name uncultured bacterium. Its description in RNAcentral is "bacterial SSU rRNA". It matches the Rfam family "Bacterial small subunit ribosomal RNA", at positions 523 to 898 of the family's 1533-position model. The record is from RNAcentral.
AGACGUAGGGGGCGAGCGUUGUCCGGAAUUACUGGGCGUAAAGAGCACGUAGGCGGGUAUUUAAGUCAGGUGUGAAAGACCGCGGCCCAACUGCGGGGUUGCACUUGAAACUGAAUAUCUUGAGGGCAGGAGAGGUCAGUGGAAUUCCUGGUGUAGCGGUGAAAUGCGUAGAUAUCAGGAGGAACACCAGUGGCGAAGGCGACUGACUGGACUGACCCUGACGCUGAGGUGCGAAAGCGUGGGUAGCAAACAGGAUUAGAUACCCUGGUAGUCCACGCCGUAAACGAUGGAUACUAGGUGUGGGAGGUAUCGACCCCUUCCGUGCCGGAGCUAACGCAAUAAGUAUCCCGCCUGGGGAGUACGGUCGCAAGGCUGAA